GAUGAACGCUGGCGGCGUGCCUAAUACAUGCAAGUCGAGCGAACAGACGAGGAGCUUGCUCCUCUGACGUUAGCGGCGGACGGGUGAGUAACACGUGGAUAACCUACCUAUAAGACUGGGAUAACUUCGGGAAACCGGAGCUAAUACCGGAUAAUAUAUUGAACCGCAGGGUUCAAUAGUGAAAGACGGUUUUGCUGUCACUUAUAGAUGGAUCCGCGCCGCAUUAGCUAGUUGGUAAGGUAACGGCUUCCAAGGCGACGAUGCGUAGCCGACCUGAGAGGGUGAUCGGCCCCACUGGAACUGAGGCACGGUCCAGACUCCUACGGGAGGCAGCAGUAGGGAAUCUUCCGCAAUGGGCGAAAGCCUGACGGAGCAACGCCGCGUGAGUGAUGAAGGUCUUCGGAUCGUAAAACUCUGUUAUUAGGGAAGAACAAAUGUGUAAGUAACUAUGCACGUCUUGACGGUACCUAAUCAGAAGGCCACGGCUAACUACGUG
RNAcentral lists this ribosomal RNA (496 nucleotides) under uncultured bacterium. Its description in RNAcentral is "partial 16S ribosomal RNA". It matches the Rfam family "Bacterial small subunit ribosomal RNA", at positions 28 to 507 of the family's 1533-position model. The record is from RNAcentral.